CUUUCUUUUGUUGCUUGGGCAAAGAGCUGCCUUGUGCCAUCUGAGGAGUUUACAAUCGUAAAUGGCAAGGCUGUGCGCGGUAUGGGUAUUUGCGUGUGUGGUGUGUGGGCAGAGUGUGUGAAACAGGCUGCGCAGUCUCCCGCGACCUCACAGCCUCCCUCCUACAGCCCCGCACUCAGCCACACCUGCCCCCUCGAUGCCCUGUCUGCUAAAUCAUCAAGCCUCCAGAACGGCUGGGCCCUCACUCUGUCAGCGUCUAACGCAACACUUGAGGCCAGCCGACGAAGCCUUUCCUCCCACGCCCUUUGGAACCGUCUAGUGUGUUAGCCUCUUCGAUAACACUCUUGGUUCUCCUGGAGGAUGCCCUUCCCUGGCAUUCCGGGGCGGGGGGACGCUGCUCAUCCUUGUGCGCGUGCACACACACACCCAUCUCAAGGUACCGACGUUGGGAUACAGCCUUCCACUGAUAAGCAUCAUCUCCUCCGCCACACCACCAGCUGUAGGGCAGGGUAACCGCACCCGCUGCUCCAGAGGGUGGACCCUGAUUAGUCUAAGCCAAUCAUCGGUCUCUUGCCAGUGAUUGGUGCAGGAGUCAGCAUGUGACCCAAUUCUGGCCAACGAGAUGUGAGGAGAGGUCUGCUCAGGGACUUCUGGGAAAGGAUUCCUCGCUUCUAGGAAGGAGACUACGGAAAGAGUGCCUGUUUUCUGCCGUUGAGCACUGAUGGGCCUGAGUGUAAUUCCUGGAACUGCUCCGACCAUCUUGCAAUCGUGAGGGUCAACAGUGUUUCGAUGAAGUUGAGGCAGUGCAAUGGAAGGAACCUCGAUGAUGUUACUGUAUUAUUGAGCCCUAUUACACUGAAAAAUCUCCUUCCUCUGGACUUCCUAUCAAGUGAAAUAAUAGAGGCGUUAUUAUUUGUCAUCUAUAAUCAAGAUAUCCUAGCUGAGGCAGCCCUGCGCUUCUCCCACCCCCUGGGGACUCCUCCCCUAUGUAAGGCUCCUGUGUGGCUCCAGACGGUGGGAGGCCACCAGGGUGUCCUACUGCCAGGACCUGCCUGCCAGAUUGAAUACCCUGGUACCACCACAAAACAUAUGUGACCUUGACCCUGAUGUCACCCUACAGCCAGAACUGAUGAUGGCCACCAGUGCCUGUCGUCCAGAACCCUUUGCAUGGUAUUAUCCAGUAUUUCUGUCCAGCCUCACAUCCAGACCUGCUUCACUGGGCUUCCUCUGCUUCAGGCUCAUCUCCCCAUCUGGAGUAGCUACCAUCCAUCUCCUCUGGACCAAUUCUGCUCCUCCUCCAAAGGGAAGCUGUCAUCAUCUACUCAGCAGCUGCUAUGUACCCAGCAUCAUUCUAAGCACUGGGCCCCCAGGUGUAAGGCAGGAACCAUGGCCUGGCAGGUGCUCUGCCAUGCACACUCACCUGGACUGCUGAUGCAAGAGGGGUCUUUACACCCAUCCUGCCCAGCCCACACUGCACAGGAGAGACUGAGGCCCAGAGAGGGGAAACCGCACAGGGUCUCACAGAUAGAGCAAAGUCUAGAACUCAGGCUACCAGCUUGAUGUCACUGAAGAGGAAGUCAGGGAAAGCGGUGCAAAGAGCCGGUUCUCACAAGACAGUACAAGCCAGCUGCAGCGGACCAGUGACGCGGAAACAUGCACCCGCCUCCAGACAGCGCCUCAGGAGCGGGCAGGACCUUUUACGGGGUGAUUCCUGGGUGCCUGGGACUGAAACCCUAGUUUAAGACCUUGUGAGCUGCUGCAAAAGAUCUCGGAGCCUGGCUUGGCACGGAGGAAGUGGAGCCACCCUUCCUCAGAAUAAACUAUUUGAGCUUGAGGAAGAGGUUCCCGCAGCGGCCACGUGGGGCUGAAGAACAGGACCUUUGCUCAAGCUUCAGGACAUUGCAAACCACCCUGGCUCACCCUAAGGACGGCAUGCUCCAGACAAUGACUCCACCGUGGUGACUGGGAGCUCAGAGCCACAUUUAUGAAAAUAAAAUACUGUGAUAGUUCUUGCAUAUGAUCGUUGGGAUGCAAAUUCAUGCCUGCUACAAAGAGAUGACAGCCUUCUUCCGAGUUAUGAGGGCUUAUGCCUUCAGGUUUCUCAGUCUAGGAGGGAAAAUGAAACUAGUAUUCAAAUAUGCCCCCAAAAAUGUGCUAUGCACCACAAUAAGGAACAUCAGUAUAGUAAGAAGACUAUCACACAGUUACAUAUUAUCACAUGUGUAAAGAACUUUCACAUGUAAGAUCUCCUUUUAUCCUCCUCACGACCUUGCCAAGCUGACUAUAGUUCCAUUUCCCAGAUUUGGACGUUGACAGUCAGAGAGGCCCAAGACCAUACCGUCCAUCCGUGCAGAACCAGCACUCUCCUUACUAUCUUCUAUAUGCCAUGCUCAGUGUUCCUCCCCCUACAGAAUGACAGACUCAUCUGGGUGUGCCCAGAACCUUCCCACUUUUAGCACUGACAGUCUUGCACCUUGGGAAACACAUCAGUCCUCCCUUGCAUUAUGGCCAAUAGGAUAUAAGCGGAGGUUCCUUAGCUGUAUUUCCAGGAUCAGGUUCCUUAAAAGGAUGAGCCAGUCAGGCAAUGCCCCUUUGCUUCUUCCUGUUUUUCUUCUUGCUUGGAACUUGCAUGUGAUGACUAGAGUGCCAGCAGCCAUCCUGUGACCCUGAAGAUGAAAGCAAUAUGCUAAUGAAGUUGGAGCAGAAAGAUAGAAAGAGGCUGGGUCCCUUGUGACUAUGAGCUGCCAUAACCACCCUGGACCACCUACUUGCAGACUUCCUUUAUAUGAGAAAAUAAACCCUUAUGUAUUUAGACCACUGGAGUGAAUUCUCCAUUGCUGGCAGCCAGUCAGAGAAUAGCUCAAGCAAAGGCAUGAAGGCGAGAAUGCACACAGCUUUUGAAAUUGUGUGGUUAUUCCCCCAGGGUUUAGCUAGUUUUUUAAGAUUUUAAUCUCUUUAAGAUUUCUUCCCCUGCUCUCACUCAUGAGCCUCUCCCUGCAAUUCACGAUGGUGCAUAAUGGAGUCCUGAGACCCAGGAUCUCAUGUUUCUUUUUUCCCUUGGUACUUCUGUUGAUCUCCUAGCCUUUCAUGCAUUUAAUCAAUGGCGUUAACGACCCCUGGGAAUGAGUGUGCAGAAAAAAGCAGAAAACAAAAGUGUCAAUUCUUGGCUUUUGAGUUACAAAACAGUCUUUUGGAACUCACAGCAAAGACAUUAGUUGGAGAAAGGCUUUUUGAAUUUCAAAAGCCUGGAUACUAUACAUUAUUGUGGAAUUUCAGAGUACUGAGGACAAAAGAAGACUACAAGCUUUCCAAGAGCAAAGAACAGCUGACAAACAAAAGAAGAAGAACCAGAAUAGCUCCAGAGCUCUCAGCAGCAAAUUGCUAGAAAACAGGGGAGCAAUGCCUUCAAAAUUUGGGGAGGAAAUUUUCAACCUAAAAGUCUAUUCCCAGCCAGAUUAUCAAUCGAAGGAUAGCAGAUUAAAGAUACUUUCAGAUAUCCAAAUCCUCGAAUAUUAUAUCUCCUACAGACCCUUUCUUUAGGUAGCAAAUGUAAAACAAGAAAGAGAAAGAUACUGGAUCCAGAAAGCAGGGGAUCCAACCCAGGAGAGCAAUAAAGGGAAGCCCCAGGAAAAUGUGUUCAGUUGGCCUAACGAGCAACCAGGAGAUGGAGCUUGUGGGAAAACCUGUAGCCACAGGUAGGGAGAAAAACAGACAAAUGAAAAACGGGGCAAUUCUUAACUCCAGGACAAACAAAGAGUUAAAUACGAUAAAGGCAUGGUGAUAUUGGACUCUUUGUUCAGCUGGGAACAAUAUUUGCAUAUUUGUUAUGGUAUAUACACCAUCUAAUAAAUUGACCACAAUUGUGA
Molecule: long non-coding RNA, 3866 nt
Filed under: Equus asinus (donkey)
Lineage: Eukaryota; Metazoa; Chordata; Mammalia; Perissodactyla; Equidae
Description: lncRNA (ENSEASG00005025740.1)
Source: RNAcentral